This 253-nucleotide ribosomal RNA is filed under the name uncultured bacterium. Its description in RNAcentral is "partial 16S ribosomal RNA". It matches the Rfam family "Bacterial small subunit ribosomal RNA", at positions 524 to 776 of the family's 1533-position model. The record is from RNAcentral.
UACGUAGGUGGCGAGCGUUGUCCGGAUUUACUGGGCGUAAAGGAUGCGUAGGCGGAUAUUUAAGUGAGAUGUGAAAUACCCGAGCUUAACUUGGGUGCUGCAUUUCAAACUGGAUAUCUAGAGUGUGGGAGAGGAGAAUGGAAUUCCUAGUGUAGCGGUGAAAUGCGUAGAGAUUAGGAAGAACACCAGUGGCGAAGGCGAUUCUCUGGACCAUAACUGACGCUGAGGCACGAAAGCGUGGGGAGCAAACAGG